UACGUAGGGGGCAAGCGUUGUCCGGAUUUAUUGGGCGUAAAGAGCGUGUAGGCGGCCAGGUAGGUCUGCUGUGAAAACUCGAGGCUCAACCUCGAGACGUCGGCGGAAACCAUCUGGCUAGAGUCCGGAAGAGGAGAGUGGAAUCCCUGGUGUAGCGGUGAAAUGCGCAGAUAUCAGGAAGAACACCCGUGGCGAAGGCGGCUCUCUGGGACGGUACUGACGCUGAGACGCGAAAGCGUGGGGAGCGAACAGG
This 253-nucleotide ribosomal RNA is filed under the name uncultured bacterium. Its description in RNAcentral is "partial 16S ribosomal RNA". It matches the Rfam family "Bacterial small subunit ribosomal RNA", at positions 524 to 776 of the family's 1533-position model. The record is from RNAcentral.